GGCUCCGCUGUAGCAGUGUGCUGUAGCAAACGGAACUGUAAGUCGUUGAUUUUGUGCUAAGUCCUUGCGAUUAAACAAGGAAAAAUGGUGCUGCUAGA
RNAcentral lists this small RNA (98 nucleotides) under Sinorhizobium meliloti 2011. Its description in RNAcentral is "putative ncRNA". The record is from RNAcentral. Lineage: Bacteria; Pseudomonadati; Pseudomonadota; Alphaproteobacteria; Hyphomicrobiales; Rhizobiaceae.